This 198-nucleotide ribosomal RNA is filed under the name Triticum aestivum (bread wheat). RNAcentral's name for it is "partial small subunit ribosomal RNA". The record is from RNAcentral. Lineage: Eukaryota; Viridiplantae; Streptophyta; Magnoliopsida; Poales; Poaceae.
AUGCACAAAGGCCUCGCCUCCGCCACUCUGCUCGUGCCAUGGAUGAUCUGGAAACAUCGCAAUGGCUGCGUUUUCGAGGGAGACUGCCCUUCGGUCACCUCCCUGAUUGCCACGAUCAAGGCUGAGGCUGCCCUUUGGGCCAGAGCUGGGGCCCUUGGCCUCCGCGUCAUCCUGCCCCAAACCUGGGAUGUUCACUAA